This is a non-coding RNA of Taeniopygia guttata (zebra finch), 520 nucleotides long. The record is from RefSeq and is a predicted model, not a curated record. NCBI's taxonomy places the organism in Eukaryota, Metazoa, Chordata, Aves, Passeriformes, Estrildidae.
UCUGGAAAUCAGCUGACCAUCCCGGAUGUUCAGGCCUCCACCUUUUCCUGUCAGAGCACAAUAGAUCACCAGAGGCCGGUGGCGUGAGGUGACACUAUCUCAGGGACCAGGAUUGGAGCAGACUGAUCGCAGCUCUCGCUCCUGCCCAGCCCACCAUGGUUCCUGUGACAUGCUUCGCACUCUUCGUCAUAGGCAUUGCAAUUGUAGCCAUAGCAAUGACUCAGACCAGGAAUUACUCUGUGAAUGCCGAUAUGGUGUUUGUUGCGCGUGCAGAUGGUGAUCGUGAGGGGAGAAAUACGCCCUGCACCCAAGCUGCAGCCGUUGCCUUGAGGAUCAGAGGAAAUGCUGGUUACAAUGGCCAGGGAAGAGAAGUGGAUGUCCUUCCUUCCAAGUAGCCUGCUUCAUGUCUUCCACAGCAUGAACUGGGAAGCCGCAUUGACCAGCAGCUGCCACUUUAACAGAUUUGCAUGGCCUUAAGCAAUAAAUGCUUCAGAAAGCUUGAAUAAAAGUGCAUUGAUGA